This 2136-nucleotide long non-coding RNA is filed under the name Helianthus annuus (common sunflower). The record is from RNAcentral. Lineage: Eukaryota; Viridiplantae; Streptophyta; Magnoliopsida; Asterales; Asteraceae.
UCAAUUUCCUGAAACCCUAACUAUCAUACGCUUCUUCUUCUUCUUGCAUCUCAUUUGAAACCUAAAUCUUCAUCAUCCCUUAAUCCCACAACCCCAACCCUUGUGCUUCUCAAUUAUACUUCAUCUACAUCCAGAUCCCUACUUUCAUUCUCGCUUUUCAGAUCUCAUCACUCCAUCAAUGCCCCAAACUGUUUGACUCUCUCGAUUUCUGUAUCAUCUAACACUCCAGAUCUUCACAGGUGAUGUUGCAUACAGAUCUGAGGUUAUCUUUUCUUGUGGCGUGUGAUUUAUUGGAUUUGUAGUUGAUUGAUUGCUCUUCUAAACAAGGAGAGAUGGAAUCUGAAGGAGAGACUGGGGAUGCGUUACAUGAUAGUACUGUGUUAAUCAUCAAGCUUGGCUCCAAUCUUUUGAUCUAUCCGAAGUAUUAAUUGUCCAUUAUUCCUGAAGAUAUGGCGGACCUGUCAUUAAACCAAUGAUGGGAUCAAUGCAAGCAUCGUCAAUACUUAUAAAGAAGGCUUCGGCAUAUAAUUUUGUUGGUUCAGCAGUCCUUAACCUUGGCCAAGUUAAUGGCUGGUAACUACUUGGUGAGGUUAUUGCUGGAGAAGAUGAUAGACUCUGCAAAUUCGGCUUAUCUUGGCAUACUAGAAAGGUGGGUGUAUGAAGGACUUAUUGAUGGCCCACAUGACGAGUUCUUCAUUGCUGAGAAGAAAUCUCUUCAAAAGGAGUCUCUUACCCAAGAUUAUGAUGCUAUGUAUUGGAGGCAAAGAUACAGUCUAAAAGAUGAUAUCCGUUUCUUGCAAAUUCGGCCGAAACCAUUUUAACAACAGGGAAAUAUUUAAAUGUCAUGAGAGAAUGUGGCCACACUGGUUGGGUUGGGGGUUGAAAACUUGAAAUGGGCAAUCUUUUGUGUGGGUCAAAACGGGUAGGGUACGUGAACACUUUUUUAAUCGUUUUUUUUUUUACUUUUUUAAAUUAGGGUCAAAACAGAUUUUGUAGGUUGGUUCGACCUAUGAACACUAAUCUAACACUCUUCAUAAGGCGAUUCAAGAGUUGGAUACUUUGUAAUCGAAGUUAAUGCUUCAAUAUUCCCCCAAAAAGACUGGAAUGAAGAAAAAGUUGUUUUACGCGGGUCAACCAAUUAGCUGUCAUCCUAAUCCAACUUGACUUGAGCCAUUCUGACUUACUAUCCGUCCUGUCUGAGACACCUAUCUAGCUACCUCUAACAAAUUCACAUGGAUUAUAAUUGUUAUAUUAUUGGAUAAUAAUGUACUUCAAAUACAAAAUAUACAGGUGUAAGGUUAUACAACUGCCUUAUAGUUUAAUACCCCUGAUGGGGAUAUGGUGAUUACUCUUGAUGACUGAUACACUCAAAAUCAUUUGGAGCUCAAUAUGCUAGAUGGAGUGCUGGUCAAUGUCAAGGGAUUGAAUGUUGAUCUAGGCUCAAUUUCAUUGGUUUUUCUCUAUAAAUAUAGUUCCAUUGUUCAAGACGGUAUUAACCAUACUACAUUCAAUGAUGAUUUAGGUAAGUGCCAUUGGUUUUUGUUUAUAAUAUUAAACAAUCCAUGUCAGGUUGAGAUGCAAGAAAUGGGACGGGCCAUGUUAGGAUGAGCCGCAAGAUUUUUUUAGUUAUUGUCCAACAUGUAUUGGAGCAUGAAAAACCACACGAGCACUCAGUAAUAAUUCUGUUGUUCAGAUGAGUCAACAGAAGUUUGCAUCAAAUGUGGUUGAGAAAUGUUUUGACUUUUGGUGAUGCUAGCAAACGCCAACUUCUUGUGAAUAAGUUCAACAAUUAGUUUCUCAACUUGCUGGGACUUUUGCUGUUAGAAAUGAAUCUAACUCUCAAGAAAAUGAAAAGAGGAGUUUAAUGAGUAGGUGUACAUAAAUUAUCUCCCAUUUAAAGGAUGUAGGUUUGAGAUACACUACACUAUAUUUUUUUAUGUUUGGCAUUUAUGUAUAUUAAACUGGUAAACUUUUUUUAAACUAUGUCUUACUUAUCAUGUUGUGACAGGACCAAUAUCAUUUGUUCAUGUCAAUGAACAGGCAAUAUGCAUCGUUAAGUAAAUUGAGGGCAAUUAUCAUGUGUUUUUAAUUAUCACGGCACGAGUCCGAGACACUUCUAUGCUUAUAGAAUGCUCC